GUGUCUACCAAGAGAAAUGUGGGCAUGAGGGUACCAGCAGACACUGUGAGGGAAAUUCACAGCAGCCUCAAUCAUACUCGCCAACGACGGGAGUCAAACCACACCUCCUUCAACUGGAGAAGACGUAAAGUGGUGGGAUACCCACACAACGGGAUGCAACACAGCGAGAAGAAAGAACGAAUGCGUCUCACAGACAUGGUGGUGCGUCAAGGGAGCCAGAUGCAAAAAAGAACACCCGCGCUCUUUGACGUCAGUCAGCCGAACUUUGAUGUCCUGACCCCAUCACCAACCAGCUGGAUGACUCUGGGCAGUGACCCCAAGCUCCUUGGUCUGUUCCAUCAACCCUGAGCUAUUUCCCUCUCCUUGGAAGGCUCUUCUCUCCACUUUCUACCUAAGGAACUCCCACCCUCCCUGGAAGCCCUGCUGAACGCACCCUGACCCAGGAGCCUUCUGCAGCCCUCAACC
RNAcentral lists this long non-coding RNA (465 nucleotides) under Equus asinus (donkey). Its description in RNAcentral is "lncRNA (ENSEASG00005030477.1)". Lineage: Eukaryota; Metazoa; Chordata; Mammalia; Perissodactyla; Equidae. The record is from RNAcentral.